AUCUUGCUAGAUAAGAUUAAUUAAGAUAGUGAGAUAUAAUUGAUUAGAGAAUUGUUACAAUGUUAGGAUUGGUUAGUUAAAUUUCAGUAAAAUGAUAGGAUAAAGUAUAGUGGAGAAUAUUACUGUAUG
Non-coding RNA from Chelonoidis abingdonii (Abingdon island giant tortoise), 129 nucleotides. NCBI's taxonomy places the organism in Eukaryota, Metazoa, Chordata, Testudines, Testudinidae. The record is from RefSeq and is a predicted model, not a curated record.